Molecule: unclassified non-coding RNA, 403 nt
Filed under: uncultured fungus
Lineage: Eukaryota; Fungi
Description: partial contains small subunit ribosomal RNA, internal transcribed spacer 1, and 5.8S ribosomal RNA
Rfam family: Eukaryotic small subunit ribosomal RNA (bases 1-73)
Source: RNAcentral
UCAAACUUGGUCAUUUAGAGGAAGUAAAAGUCGUAACAAGGUCUCCGUUGGUGAACCAGCGGAGGGAUCAUUACAGAGUUAAUCCAAACUCCCAACCCUUUGUGAACUAUAUCGCCGUUGCCUCGGCGUGAGUGGCGGCCACCCAGGGAGUAGUUACCUACCCUGUAGUUUCCGGGGGCAUCUACCCUGUACAUGAGAACUUCUACCCUGUAGAAGCCAUCCUGUAAGCUGGUAGCGCUGCCUUGGAAGGUACAGAGCAGGCUACUCCCCGGGGCUGCAAACAACGCCCGCCGGAGGACCAAUAAACUCUUGAAUUACUAUGUAUUUCUGAAUGCUUCAACUAUAAAUAGUUAAAACUUUCAACAACGGAUCUCUUGGUUCUGGCAUCGAUGAAGAACGCAGC